CCUACCGGGUGGCAGCAGUGAGGAAUAUUGGUCAAUGGACGGAAGUCUGAACCAGCCAUGCCGCGUGCAGGAUGACGGCUCUAUGAGUUGUAAACUGCUUUUGUACGAGAAUAAUAGUUCUUACGUGUAGGGAUUUGAAUGUAUCGUACGAAUAAGGAUCGGCUAACUCCGUGCCAGCAGCCGCGGUAAUACGGAGGAUUCGAGCGUUAUCCGGAUUUAUUGGGUUUAAAGGGUGCGUAGUCUGUUGGAUAAGUCAGCGGGAAAAGCCCGGGGCUCAACCCCGGCGAGCCGUUGAAACUGGCUGUCUUGAGAUGUCGAGAGGUAUGCGGAAUGCGCAGUGUAGCGGUGAAAUGCUUAGAUAUUGCGCAGAACUCCGAUUGCGAAGGCAGCAUACCGGCGGCGAUCUGACGCUGAGGCACGAAAGCGUGGGUAUCGAACAGGAUUAGAUACCCCGGUAGUC
This 460-nucleotide ribosomal RNA is filed under the name uncultured bacterium. RNAcentral's name for it is "partial 16S ribosomal RNA". It matches the Rfam family "Bacterial small subunit ribosomal RNA", at positions 338 to 795 of the family's 1533-position model. The record is from RNAcentral.